GACGAACGCUGGCGGCGUGCUUAACACAUGCAAGUCGAACGAAGUGGCGAACGGGUGAGUAACGCGUAAUCAACCUGCCCUUCCGAGGGGGACAACAUUUGGCCACGACUGCUAAUACCGAAUACUGAAGGCGGGGAUUUCGUCUGAUUAUCUGUUUGGAGGGGUACCGGCCCACCAAGGCGAUGAUCAGUAGACGGUCUGGGAGCAUGAACGGCGAAAUUGGGACUGAGACACGGCCCAGACUCCUACGGGAGGCAGCAGUGGGGAAUCUGCCGCAAUGGACGAAAGUCUGACGGAGCAACGCCGCGGUAGUGAGGACGACCUUCGGGUUGUAAAGCUCUGUUAAUCGGGACGCGGUACCGGAAUAGAAAGCCACGGCUAACUACGUGCCAGCAGACGCGGUAAUUC
Molecule: ribosomal RNA, 408 nt
Filed under: uncultured bacterium
Lineage: Bacteria
Description: partial 16S ribosomal RNA
Rfam family: Bacterial small subunit ribosomal RNA
Source: RNAcentral